GACGAACGCUGGCGGCGUGCUUAACACAUGCAAGUCGAACGGAAAGACCCUGCUGUUGUGGGGUGCUCGAGUGGCGAACGGGUGAGUAACACGUGAGUAACCUGCCCUUGACUUUGGGAUAACUUCAGGAAACUGGGGCUAAUACCGGAUAGGAGCUCCUGCUGCAUGGUGGGGGUUGGAAAGUUUCGGCGGUUGGGGAUGGACUCGCGGCUUAUCAGCUUGUUGGUGGGGUAGUGGCUUACCAAGGCUUUGAGGGGUAGCCGGCCUGAGAGGGUGACCGGCCACAUAGGGACUGAGAUACGGCCCAGACUCCUACGGGAGGCAGAAGUGGGGAAUAUUGCACAAUGGGCGGAAGCCUGAUGCAGCAACGCCGCGUGCGGGAUGACGGCCUUCGGGUUGUAAACCGCUUUCGCCUGUGACGAAGCGUGAGUGACGGUAAUGGGUAAAGAAGCACCGGCUAACUACGUG
This 468-nucleotide ribosomal RNA is filed under the name uncultured bacterium. Its description in RNAcentral is "partial 16S ribosomal RNA". It matches the Rfam family "Bacterial small subunit ribosomal RNA", at positions 28 to 507 of the family's 1533-position model. The record is from RNAcentral.